Molecule: long non-coding RNA, 3094 nt
Filed under: Homo sapiens (human)
Lineage: Eukaryota; Metazoa; Chordata; Mammalia; Primates; Hominidae
Description: LNC_000698
Source: RNAcentral
GAUUUCUCCUCCCUUCCUGUCUUAUUCCCUUUCUUAUUCCUCCCCUUUAUUUCUGCCGUUCUUUCUUCCUUCUUUUUCUUUUAAUAUUUCAAUAGUUUUUUGGGAACAGGUGGUUUUGGUUACAUGGAUAAGUUCUUUAGUAGUGAUUUCUGAGAUUUUGGUGCACCCAUCACCCAAGUAGUAUACCCUGUAUCCAAUGUGUAGUCCUUUAUUCCUCACCCGACUCCCAUAUUUCCCCCAAGCCCCAAAGACCAUUAUAUCAUUGUUAUGCCUUUGCAUCCUCAUAGCUUACCACACCUUAAAAGUGAGAACAUAUGAUAUUUGGUUUUCCAUUUCUGAGUUACUUCACUUUUAUAAAUACAAUGGAAUACUACUCAGCCAUAAAAAGAAAUGAAAUAAUGGCACUUCUUCCUUCUUUCUUACCUUCCUUCCUUCCAGUUUGUGUUGUAGGUAGAUUGUUUCCUCAGAUUGAGUUUACAAUUCAUACUGUCCUUUCAUCCUGGCAAAGUUGUAGCCCCACACUUCAUUAUUCAUUUUAUUUAUGUAUACAUUUUCGUAUAAACAUAUAUGUACGUAUAAACAUAUAUGUACGUAUAAACAUAUGUACGUAUAUAUGUAUAUAUUUACAUAUUUAUAUGUAAUACAAGGCACCUGCUACAUUUUAGGCAUAAUGCUAGGCACUAGAAUAACACUGUCAAUUACACGUGAAGCCCUUUAGUCUUAGAGUAAGAGUUAGAAUAUUUUAGUGUCAUGGUUUGUAGAGGUCAUUAAGGCAUGCACUAUAGAGCUUGCAGGUCCCUCACCAUUCUAGCUUCCAAUUUUAACUGGGGUUAACAGUUCCUUGUGUGCAUCCACCAUAACACUUAGGAAUGCAUUGGCUUUGAAAACAUUUCCUCCCUUUCUUUCAUUCCCAGCAUUUAACUCAUAAGAAUUGGACUUGAUUUGCAUUUUCUUGAGCCAUUGCUCUUAAGGGCAGUCUGACAUUAGGCAUCAAAAUGUGCUAACUAUGGUUGUAGUCUGACACCCUUUUUUUUCUUGGCCCUCCCCCAAAAUGGCAAAAUAAAAUAACCAAAAAUUUCAAACAUUUGGUUUAAUUAAAAUAGGCCUUGUAGAAAUGCAUUUGAAUAUUUGAAUAGUGCAUUAAUAUGCUAGGAAAAUCAGGGGUUCAAAAGUGAAUAUUGCCGCAUUCCUUAGGCCCUGAGGAAUAGCAACAAAUAAAUAUUGUGCAAAUUACGGUUUUGGAAAGACUGGUACAAUACAAUUAAUAAGGCAUGAAAACCAGUAGCAAGAAAAUGAGAGGAAGGGGUAAAGUCAUUUCUUUAUUUUAAAGGUAGAAAUGUGCAUUUUUGUGUUUGGGUUUUGCCAUUUUAAGACACCUGUGUCUCACUUGCUACAAUCACAAAUUCCAAGGGUGAAUAAUGGAAAUCAUUGUAUAGGUGUAAAUGGUGUAUUGAGUACUUUUUUCAGUCUAUAACACACCUAUCUUGUUGGCACCAAAGAGCAAUGAAUGAGGCAUUUUAUUAAAACCUAGGCUUGUGGUUCCAAUCAAAGGUCACUGGUUGGUUCCCACUUUUCAGUUUCAGAUUUGUCUGUGUUUGAUCAGGGGGCAGCAACGAGAUUUUUAUGGCAAAGACUUUGUACUAGCCUGUAUCUGUCUGUUGAAACUUGAAAGUCUUUAGAACUGUGAUGCUGACAGUAUGUGAACACUGCAAGAAAGUGUGAACUGUGUAAUGUCUUAAAGAAACUUUCAAGUAUCAUCUUCCUUUUGUGAUGUUUGAAAGAGUUUCAGAUACCAUUAUGAUACUAGUGAAAAGGUAUUUUAUUGAUUAAAGGAGAUUUUUUUUCCUAGCAAAUAUACAUUAAGUCAGUCUUCCUAUUACUUUUUCUGUUCUCUCCCUGCUUCAUACAGCAAGUUCAUUAACAUGUAGAUAUGCAGUGAUUGAAGUCAGACUGCUUUUUACAGUGGAGUUGUCUUGAUAUAAUGAGCUCCUCUUUAAUGUUGAAAAAAUUGUUGUUACUUUCUAAAAAGGGUUGUUUGUGAAUUUCAUUAAUCUUCAAACAAUUUCUGCAUUGUUCAGUUUACUACAAUUAAAAUGCUUUCCGAUGCUAAAAAAUCACUUUUUACAGAUGUAUUGCAAAUGUAAGCACUGUGAGAGUGGCUUUGUUUUUUACUUUGAAAGAAAAAGCUGCUAUUUAGUUGAGAAUUCUUAUUUUUUUAAAUUGGCCCUCCAUAUGGAAAAUCAGAGGAGAGUACACUUACUGUACUGCUGAACAGGUGAGUUUGCUCAUAAGGGUUAGGUUUCACAACUAGUUCAUUCAAUCCUUGGACUAGAGCAUUGGUCUAAUCAUAGUUGAAAAAUGAGGGCCUUAACCUUGCCUUCUCAGUUUACUAGAGUACAACUCCUUCGUAUUUAGAAUGUUGGAAGUCUUGAGAAAGAAGAGAUAUUAGUGAAAUUAAGUUUCUGCUUUGGGUAAAAGUUCUCAAAGGGAUGUAUGAUACACCUGACUAAAUUCUUGGUUGCAGAGCAGUGAUUGUAGUUCAUAGUGAAUAGCUUCGUUCUUUGUAAAUUACCUUUUCCACUUAGGCCCUGGUCAGCAGGACUUGAAUGGUAUGAGAGUAAUUCUUGGCAUCUCUUGAAGACUGGGCACAGAAAGAGGCAGAAUGUCUUUCUGGAGAAUAUUUAGCAGAUUGAAGGCUUAAAAAUUUCCAGGUGAUGUCAAGGAAGUUUUCCAGGUAAAUCCCAGGACAGUUGGUUUAUGAAGGCAGGGAGUUGGAGAGUUGAGAAUAAAUUACUUGAAUAUCUUAAAGUUUUUGCCAGCAAUCAGAGUUUAUAGAGCUAUCCUAGUCCUACUAUGACCACUAUUCAGGAAAAUGUUCUUCCAAGAUAUCUCUUCCUGCUUUAGUUUCAGAGACCAUUUACAUGAUGCUAGAACAUCUAGUUAAGUUAGAGAUACACUCAAAAGUUCUUGAUAGUUGGAAAAGUUGUAGAGAAAAAAUAUUUUAGAUGUUUGGCUAAUUUUUCAAAUUGUGUUUUGACUUCUUAAGGACAGAGCCAGCAUCUGAAACUUAACAGCGUUCUUUAGUAAAAUUGAG